Molecule: ribosomal RNA, 426 nt
Filed under: uncultured bacterium
Lineage: Bacteria
Description: bacterial SSU rRNA
Rfam family: Bacterial small subunit ribosomal RNA
Source: RNAcentral
AAUAUUGGUCAAUGGGCGCAAGCCUGAACCAGCCAUCCCGCGUGCAGGAAGACGGCCCUAUGGGUUGUAAACUGCUUUUCCAGGAGGAGAAACUCUCGUACGUGAUACGGGAUUGACGGUACCCUGGGAAUAAGCAUCGGCUAACUCCGUGCCAGCAGCCGCGGUAAUACGGAGGAUGCAAGCGUUAUCCGGAUUCAUUGGGUUUAAAGGGUGCGUAGGCGGACUAUUAAGUCAGUGGUGAAAUCCUGCAGCUUAACUGCAGAACUGCCGUUGAUACUGAUAGUCUUGAGUUUGGUUAAGGUAGGCGGAAUGUGUAAUGUAGCGGUGAAAUGCUUAGAUAUUACACAGAACACCGAUUGCGUAGGCAGCUUACUGAGCCGACACUGACGCUGAGGCACGAAAGCGUGGGGAUCGAACAGGAUUAGA